UCGGCAGCUUCGGUCUAUCUUGACAAAUACCAGCUGCAAAGGGUCACUUGGCCUUCAGGGGAUUUCCUGAAUCAAUGGGAUGCAGCAGCUCUGACAGAGCGAAGCAACACCCCACUGGCCUUGAAGAAAGCAACCAGGAAUGGCUGUUUGGACUGGGGCCCGUUCCUCCCAAUGAUUCCAGCAGAUUUUAUGUUGAUACUUCGUCCUUUAAAAAACAGAAGUCUCCACACAGAGCUGCAGGCCCAAGUUCUGCUGUGGGUUCAUCACCCAGUGGUUACUGGUGGCCGUG
Long non-coding RNA from Micropterus salmoides (largemouth bass), 289 nucleotides. RefSeq lists it as uncharacterized. The transcript has 3 exons. Lineage: Eukaryota; Metazoa; Chordata; Actinopteri; Centrarchiformes; Centrarchidae. The record is from RefSeq and is a predicted model, not a curated record.